AGUAGUAUGGUUGGGUUAUAUGGUAGGUAUGUGUUUAAAUUUGUAAGAAACUCCUGAAACAUUUUUCAAACUGGUUGCACCAUUUUACAUUCCCACCAGCAUU
This 103-nucleotide microRNA precursor is filed under the name Marmota monax (woodchuck). Lineage: Eukaryota; Metazoa; Chordata; Mammalia; Rodentia; Sciuridae. The record is from RNAcentral.